Anastrepha obliqua is the source of this 430-nucleotide long non-coding RNA. RefSeq lists it as uncharacterized. The transcript has 2 exons. The record is from RefSeq and is a predicted model, not a curated record. Lineage: Eukaryota; Metazoa; Arthropoda; Insecta; Diptera; Tephritidae.
AAAGUGGCUCUUGCGAAAUGAGGUUAAUAAAGUCAAAGAAAGAAAACUACAAAAUAAAUUAAAAAAGCUGUAGGUUAUAAGUAGGUUGUAAGCCAGGGCCCCACGAAAAGAGAUUCGCCGUUCACACAGGGUUUUCCACUUUUCUAUAUUUCAGGUUUUUUUUAUUUAUAUAUUUUACAGGUAUUUUCCCGUUUCAGGUUUUUUCUAUUUUUUAGUCUAUUUUACAGGUUUCUUUUUUAUUUUUUCUUCUCUUUCAGCUAGCACCCGAGCCUAGAUUUUUAAAGCACUACAAUUUUUUCUUAAUCAUGAUGGAUUGAGAGUAGUGUUUUAAAAAUCAGGUAAAUCGCAAUGACUUAAUCGAUGUCAAUAUCGAAGUCGUGUGAGAAAUUGUUAUAGUAUGAGAACAAUUUCGUAAUUCGUGCUUUCAAAA